AGACGACUUUGCCCUCCUUAUGCCAACAGUCAAAUGAGGCACGGCAAUCAAAUUAAAUCAUCACUGAUGAUUCCGCCUGAGCUAGCCUUAAGAACGGACGCUCAAACAGGAACCAGUGUUCACAGGAGAGUUGGAACUCACAGAAGAAUAGAGAAGAAAGAACGUAAGCAUUGGAGAUGCUGUCCUCCUUGAAGAUGCUGUUCUCCUUGAUGAUCACUCUCCUCAUCUUUGGAAUCUUGUUUACUACCCUCAUCUCCGAUGUGAGACCUUCACCUCCACCUGUUCCUUUACCUCCCGCUCUGAAAGUCCCGAGCCCCCCUAAAGGAUGUAAAGGAUGCAGGUGAGAGCCCACAUAUCAUAACAGCCUCAUUGAGAGCUAUCAGGGCCAGAAAUUGUAAAGCUCUACUCCCUCCGUAUGUCCAAGCACCAUUUAGAGGCUGCAAUCCACAGACCUGUGAUUGAAAGGCAAGAUCAAUACCCAAACCAAGCAGGGAAGAGAUUCUCUAAUUUGUCAGUAAAUGAGCUUGCUGCAGUCUAAAAUCCAAAUACAUACAGAGGCUGGGGCAGUCAUCCCAAAACUAAUAUUCUCACAGCACAUUUACUCACAGGCUACAGCACAUUCAUGGAUGGGAAUUCAAUUUAAUGGGAACCACUGAUAGUCACAUUUGAUUUGUGGAUCAAAUGUGCCAAAUUUGGAUCAGCAUGGAAUACACUUCUUAUUUAAUGGUGUUCAUGCCUAAUUCUCCUUUAGCUGAAGUCUUUAUUCAAUGUUGUUUUUAUUAUAGUUUAUUUUGAUAUUUGCUGUGUUUUGUUAACAGGGGAUCUCUUAUCGAGAAAGUGAUGGCACGACAUUCUCAGACAUGGAAAAAGCAGCAAGAAAACUCUUCAAAUUUCAGGUACUAAAAACUAUUGUGUUUACGUUUGUGUAAUGAAAGAAACAUUGUAAAACAGCCAUAAAUGUGUCCUUUAUGUUUGCGUAAAACACAUGCAAAAUACAUUCACCGCAAACUUUUUCAGGUAGUGUUCUAGUAGUAUUAAAAGGUACAACCUUCUUGGCAUUAUGUAACU
Molecule: long non-coding RNA, 1068 nt
Filed under: Gadus morhua (Atlantic cod)
Lineage: Eukaryota; Metazoa; Chordata; Actinopteri; Gadiformes; Gadidae
Description: lncRNA (ENSGMOG00000028719.1)
Source: RNAcentral